This 170-nucleotide microRNA precursor is filed under the name Hordeum vulgare. Its description in RNAcentral is "microRNA MIR1122". It matches the Rfam family "MIR1120/MIR1122 microRNA precursor family". The record is from RNAcentral. Lineage: Eukaryota; Viridiplantae; Streptophyta; Magnoliopsida; Poales; Poaceae.
AAUGUACUCCCUCCGUUCCUAAAUAUAAGUCUUUUAAGAGGUUCCACUAGGAGAUUACAUACGGAUAUAUAGACAUAUUUUAAGGUAUAGAUUCACUCAUUUUGCUCCGUAUGUAGUCUCCUAGUGAAAUCUCUAAAAAGACUUAUAUUUAGGAACGGAGGGAGUAAUAU